GACGAAGGUGGCAAGCGUUGUUCGGAAUCACUGGGCAUAAAGAGCACGUAGGCGGCUAAGUAAGUCGGAUGUGAAAUACCUCGGCUCAACCGAGGAACUGCGUCCGAUACUGCUUGGCUUGAGGUCCGGAGGGGAGAGUGGAAUUCCCGGUGGAGCGGUGAAAUGCGUAGAGAUCGGGAAGAACGCCGGCGGCGAAAGCGACUCUCUGGUCGGAAUCUGACGCUGAGGUGCGAAAGCUAGGGGAGCAAACGGGAUUAGAUACCCCGGUAGUCCUAGCCAUAAACGAUGGACGCUAGGUAGUGGUCGUUCCUAUGCGAUCACUGCUGGAGCAAAUGUCUUAAGCGUCCCGCCUGGGAAGUACGGUCGCAAGACUAAA
Molecule: ribosomal RNA, 376 nt
Filed under: uncultured bacterium
Lineage: Bacteria
Description: bacterial SSU rRNA
Rfam family: Bacterial small subunit ribosomal RNA
Source: RNAcentral